UACAGAGGGUGCGAGCGUUGUCCGGAAUCACUGGGCGUAAAGGGCGUGUAGGCGGCUGGAUAAGCCGCGUGUGAAAUCCCGGGGCUCAACCCCGGAACGGCACGCGGGACUGUUCGGCUAGAGAAUGGUAGAGGCAAGUGGAAUUCCUGGUGUAGCGGUGGAAUGCGUAGAGAUCAGGAAGAACACCAAUGGCGAAGGCAGCUCGCUGGGACGUGACUGACGCUGAGACGCGAAAGCGUGGGGAGCAAACAGG
Molecule: ribosomal RNA, 253 nt
Filed under: uncultured bacterium
Lineage: Bacteria
Description: partial 16S ribosomal RNA
Rfam family: Bacterial small subunit ribosomal RNA
Source: RNAcentral